AUGAUCCUACGGGGGGCAGCAGUGAGGAAUAUUGGUCAAUGGUCGGGAGACUGAACCAGCCAAGCCGCGUGAGGGAGGAAGGUACAGAGUAUCGUAAACCUCUUUUGUCAGGGAACAAAGACUGGGACGCGUCCCCGGAUGAGUGUACCUGAAGAAAAAGCAUCGGCUAACUCCGUGCCAGCAGCCGCGGUAAUACGGAGGAUGCGCGCGUUAUCCGGUUUUAUUGGUUUUAA
RNAcentral lists this ribosomal RNA (233 nucleotides) under uncultured bacterium. RNAcentral's name for it is "partial 16S ribosomal RNA". It matches the Rfam family "Bacterial small subunit ribosomal RNA", at positions 333 to 563 of the family's 1533-position model. The record is from RNAcentral.